RNAcentral lists this non-coding RNA (98 nucleotides) under Jonesia denitrificans. Its description in RNAcentral is "SAM-I sequence". It matches the Rfam family "SAM riboswitch aptamer (S box leader)". From Rfam's summary of the family: The SAM riboswitch is found upstream of a number of genes which code for proteins involved in methionine or cysteine biosynthesis in Gram-positive bacteria. The SAM riboswitch acts at the level of transcription termination control. RNAcentral also lists the same sequence under 1 other name. The record is from RNAcentral. Lineage: Bacteria; Bacillati; Actinomycetota; Actinomycetes; Micrococcales; Jonesiaceae.
CAACCAUCCAGAGCGGUCGAGUGACUUGGCACCGUGACACCGCAGCAACCCCCCGACACGUCAUCCGGGUGAGGGUGCUAACGCCAGAACGAUGGAGG